AGCAGCCGCGGUAAUUCCAGCUCCAAUAGCGUAUAUUAAAGUUGUUGCAGUUAAAAAGCUCGUAGUUGAAUUUCGGGAUUAAUAUGUUGGUCGUGCCUUGGUACGUACUGGCAUUAUUGAUUCCUACCUUCUGAAGAACCUCGAUGUCAUUAAUUUGGUGUCUUGGGGAAUCAGGACCGUUACUUUGAAAAAAUUAGAGUGUUUAAAGCAGGCUCGCGCUUGAAUACAUUAGCAUGGAAUAAUGAAAUAGGACGUUUGAUUCUAUUUUGUUGGUUUCUAGGAUCGACGUAAUGAUUAAUAGGGAUAGUUGGGGGCAUUAGUAUUCAAUUGUCAGAGGUGAAAUUCUUGGAUUUAUUGAAGACUGACUACUGCGAAAGCAUUUGCCAAGGAUGUUUUCAUUAAUCAAGAACGAAAGUUAGGGGAUCGAAGACGAUCAGAUACCGUCGUAGUCUUAACCAUAAACUAUGCCGACUAGGGAUCGGAUGAUGUUAAUUUUUAAUGAC
Molecule: unclassified non-coding RNA, 503 nt
Filed under: uncultured Entrophospora
Lineage: Eukaryota; Fungi; Glomeromycota; Glomeromycetes; Entrophosporales; Entrophosporaceae
Description: SSU rRNA
Rfam family: Eukaryotic small subunit ribosomal RNA
Source: RNAcentral